UUUGAACCUGAAUCUCAAGGAUCUUCUUAUGCUAAGCCUGAGACCAGACCAAGAGGAUACAUGGCACAGUGCUUUUGACCAUCUUGACCAGAACCACAAAACCCAGGAAAUUUCUCAGAAAUGGAUGUUCUCUACUGAUUUCCAAACCUUAGGUAUGUCUUCUUAGCCUAUCAGAGCUGCUGAGACUGCAUUCUGGGUCUUUUAUCUCAGCUGGAUUAUUCACACCUGUAAGUGUAAAGUACUGGCAGUCAACUUAUAACCAUAAAGUCAACUUCAUCUGAGAUUUGACCAAUACCUCUCUACAACAAGUAAAAGGCAGAGCCAAGAGUUACAGAGAAAAAGCAGGUCCCGAUGAUAUAAUUUACCAUGGUUAAGCUUUGACCAAAGCUAGACUUAUUCCUGAACAUAUUGGUUAGCUGAGGCAAUAAAUUUUAUUUUUGU
Long non-coding RNA from Homo sapiens (human), 441 nucleotides. NCBI's taxonomy places the organism in Eukaryota, Metazoa, Chordata, Mammalia, Primates, Hominidae. The record is from Ensembl.